AAGGAGUUACCUAUUCUUCCCCUUCAUUGCUUUCUGAUCUCUCUUGUCUGCCACACCUGGCACAUGUGAAGAGAAAGAAGCCUUAGCAAGCUACCAAGAAGGUAGAGGAAGACUUCCUUUAUCCUCAGACAGCCUGUGGGCCCCGUGGCCUAUAGUAACUCUGGAGUAGAGGGUAGGUGCUCACUGAGGCUGGAGUGAGAGAGGGUACAGACUGUUAUUGGCUAGCAGUCUGUAGGAGGGUAGGCCCUGAGCCGUCACUAUUGCAAGUGGCCUCUGGAGUGGGACUUUAAGGUCCUGAGUCAUUAGAAGUCUCGUCUUCAGGGAGGUACUGGCUUGAUGCUCCUCACACCUGACCUAAGGAGUCUUCCAUUCAACAGCUCCAGGUGACUGGCCACCAUCCAGGAAGGAGCCCAUUGAAAAGAAGCAAAAUGAAAUGGCAAGGACACUGAAUGGCUGAGUGGCAAUGCCAAGGUUUCGGCUGAAGUCUGUCUGGUUAUAAACCCUUUGAAAUCCAGCUCUGCAAAGCAGGGCACUGUGGGAACUAGGACCUUUUAUAACAAGGUGACUUGAAUCUCAACAGAGUUCUUACUCUCCAUGGGCUUGUUGCUCAAGGCCACCAUGGGAUUCUGUUUUCUGUUCCCCAGCAGUGAAGACUCCAUGGCAACUCCAGGUGUGGACCAAUUCGUCCAGACUUAGGAUCCUGGCAUUUUGAACGCCAUUCGCAAUAACACAUGCAAAGUUCCCUAAGAGAAGAAGCCCUUCAAAGACUCCGAGGAGGCAGCUGCUGGCUUGAAAUCCCUUCGGGAUUGCAGAAAUGCAGGCGCUCACAGAAGACAGAGGCUCGGCUGCCUCUCACCUCUGCGGCUCUGAUCCAGCUGGAAAGGACCUAACUUCAGCGGCCAUGGGGGUCACCCGGGCUUUGCCUCAGCUCCUCUCAGCAGAGCUUCUGAGUGGGAGCCUCCUCACAAAUGCGGGUGACAGAGAAGUAAAGUGAGCAACGUCACUGAUGCCUUAAAGAAAGAUCCCAAGUUUGGGGUUUUCUCAUUGGCCACACCCAGUGGUAUCUGUUAUUUCUGCCUCGGCAACACUUGGUUGUGGUUCCGUGUGGAUCUGGACUUGGAGUAGAUGAGAUUCUAGUGCCAUGCCUUGCUUAAAGUGAGCCGGCAAUUUAGCCUUUUUGACCUUGAUUUCCCUCUUCUGUGAGUGGGAGGGGCGGGCUAGAUGAUCUUUGAUUCUAUGAUAAGUGAACUUUGUAAGCACAUGUCCACCUUCUCCGGUUAACAGCUGUGCCUGGGUGGGCCAUUGGGCCAAGCAGCAUCAGCUGUCGAGAUGUUUUAGGCUGAAGGGGAAGCACUCCGGAAUGGGACAAGGGCACCUGGUGUUGAAACCUGGAGUGGGUCAACUCUCUUAAGCCAGGGCCAACCUUUGCUUCUCCCUCCUGUUCCUGUUAGCCAGGAGGAAUGCACUGCACAAGGCACAACUAUGAGAUCGGCAACAUAUUGUUUGAUACUUUUAUGAACAGCUAUGAAUCAGAUUGCUGCCAAAAUUGUAAUUGCUACCUAGCUCACUGCCUCACAGAUCACCAGGUCCCUCCAGUUUGUGGAGGUCUCUUUGGGGUUAAUAAUGGGCUGGUUAUUUCGAUGUCAAAAUCUCAUCUCUAUUACCAAGAAAAUUGCUUUCUCUCUUCCUUUCCUACUAAUGGUUCUUCUAUGAGGAAAUUUAAUUUUCUUGAGCCAGGCUUUUGGGAGAGGGUCCUUGGUCUGACCUCACCUAUGGACUGUCCCUGACCUCUCCUGAGAUGGACUUGCUCUCUCCCUGGACACUAGACAACCUGCAUUGAUAGCCAUCAGUCACGGCUAAUCCUGCCUGGGCUUUUGAGAACUUGUAACGACACCCAGCACUUUGUGGUAAUUCUGGGAUUGAGGUCCUUUGUGAUUUUAUUUGUUUGGACUCCAAGCUUUGUUUCAGUCCUUCUGCCUCUCAGGACGUGUUUUCUGGCUUGGGUAAUGGGAAACUGUGACUUUUCUUCAUGCUGCCCAAGACCUUGGGAAAUGAGUGUCAUUGUAUCAGGCCAUUGCUCUCGGCCAAAUUCGUCCAUGUUGCCUUUUCUAAUCUACCUUCUAAUCUUCCUCCCCCAACACUAGUGUAGGCACCUGGUGAAAGUUAACUUGGAUUGUCCAGACUGCCUGAGGUCCCUGCUACCCUGGCUCAUUGUGACAAAGCACAUUGAUUCAUGGGAAGUAGCCUGGGAAGAGAUGUGAGUGGAUGAUUUCAAACCUCAUAUUUACCAUCGUGUCUUCUGUACUCACAGGUCAGGAGUAUGUCUCCCAGUUGAUAUGGCUUCCCAAAGUGAGGCUUGUAUGUUUGCACAUACAAGUGUGUGUUCGUGUGUACACGUGCAUAUCAUUACCCUGAACAGUGUUUCUCAGACAUUAGCAUGUUGACAAUAGCCUUGAGCACUUCAUUUAACCAUGCUACUGGCACCUACCCUCAUUUUCUGAUUCUGUGCAUGUGGAGUAGACCCUAAGGUUUAGUACCUUUUCCCUGGUUCUUGGGUGAUAUUGAUGCUACUGCCCUGGGCUGCACUCAUUCAGAAGUUCCUGGUUCUGGUGCUGUGAAUACUACAGCCAAUCACUGCAGAAUCGGAGCACAGUUUUGUGCUUAGACACAUGAAGCAGCCAGUUUUUCAAUCUGAGAGCUAUGCUGAAGACAGAGUAGAGAAUAAAGGUUAAGAAAUCAGU
Mus musculus (house mouse) is the source of this 2741-nucleotide long non-coding RNA. RefSeq annotates it as predicted gene 15322. The transcript is spliced from 3 exons. The record is from RefSeq and is a predicted model, not a curated record. NCBI's taxonomy places the organism in Eukaryota, Metazoa, Chordata, Mammalia, Rodentia, Muridae.